Molecule: long non-coding RNA, 1175 nt
Filed under: Malus domestica (apple)
Lineage: Eukaryota; Viridiplantae; Streptophyta; Magnoliopsida; Rosales; Rosaceae
Description: long non-coding RNA (MDOM_LNC009559)
Source: RNAcentral
GGUAGACUAGCAAACAUGCCCAACCUUUACUCACAUUCGAGAAAACACUCCCAACAAGAUUGCUUGCUCCAAAAUCGAAGAGGCACCGCCUUCCGAAUCUCGAGAGCCAGACUCCCAACAUGAUUACUUUCUCAAAAAUCGAAGAGACACUGCUCCCCGAAUCUUCGAGAGCCAAACCCCCAGCAUGAUUGUUUUCUCAAAAAUCGAUGAGGCAUCGUUCUCCGAAUCAAUCGAAGAGGCGCUCGCUUUUUCUCAAAAGCUGGGCUGCUCAGAGACCACGAGGGCCGAUCUCAGAAAUCGAAGAGGCACCUACUUUUCUAGCCUUGUCAGCACCUGUCACACGCACACUCAGCUGCUUUGCAGAAAUUAUGGGCAUUCUGUCGAAGAUUUCUAGUGAAGUAGAAAGCAUAUGAAUCUUACUGUUCAAUUACCCACUUCCCACAACGCAACAAUAGCUCAUGGGUACCACAUAUAACUUUGUCAAAGUUCUCUGCCAAAGUUGAGCACGUGAAGCUUGCAGCUCCCACUACAUCGCUCUGACCAAGAAAGGUAAAAGAAUAGCAAAGAAACAGCACUAACAAAGUUUAGACACAUAAAUUUUGAAGGUCUAGCUACCAUAAUAUUACCCACAAGGGUAAAGGAACAGUACCACUGCUGGAUAAUUGGAAAGUCCCUGUGUGUCAACCUCUGUGCUUCGUGGCAAGGUAGACUAGCAAAACAUGCCCAACCUUUACUCACAUUCGAGAAAACACUCCCAACAAGAUUGCUUGCUCCAAAAUCGAAGAGGCACCGUCCUCCGAAUCUCGAGAGCCAGACUCCCAACAUGACUACUUUCUCAAAAUCGAAGAGAGGGUAAAGGAACAGUACCAUUGCUGGAUAAUUGGAAAGUCCCUGUGUGUCAACCUUUGUGCUUCGUGGCAAGGUAGACUAGCAAACAUGCCCAACCUUUACUCAAAUUCGAGACAACACUCCCAACAAGAUUGCUUGCUCCAAAAUCGAAGAGGCACCGCCCUCCGAAUCUCGAGAGCCAGACUCCCAACAUGAUUACUUACUCAAAAAUCGAAGAGACACACUGCCCUCCGAAUCUCGAGAGCCAGACCCCCAGCAUGAUUGCUUUCUCAAAAAUCGAAGAGGCAUCGUUCUCCGAAUCUCGAGAGCCAGAUACCACAGACCAC